Molecule: ribosomal RNA, 406 nt
Filed under: uncultured bacterium
Lineage: Bacteria
Description: partial 16S ribosomal RNA
Rfam family: Bacterial small subunit ribosomal RNA
Source: RNAcentral
GACGAACGCUGGCGGCGGGCCUAACACAUGCAAGUCGAACGAGUGGCGGACGGGUGAGUAAUGUCUGGGAAACUGCCUGAUGGAGGGGGAUAACUACUGGAAACGGUAGCUAAUACCGCAUACCAUCAGAUGUGCCCAGAUGGGAUUAGCUAGUUGGUGGGGUAACGGCUCACCAAGGCGACGAUCCCUAGCUGGGCUGAGAGGAUGACCAGCCACACUGGAAGUGUGACAGGGUCCAGACUCCUCCGGGAGGCAGCAGUGGGGAAUAUUGCACAAUGGGCGAAAGCCUGGUGCAGCCAGGCCGCGUGUAUGAAGAAGGCCUUCGGGUUGUAAAGUACUUUCAGCGUGGAGGCGUUACCCGCAGAAGAAGCACCGGCUAACUCCGUGCCAGCCGCCGCGGUAAUUC